GACCACUGUAUUAUGUGAUAUAUGUAAAUACAAUCAUUGGAGAUUCUUUGAUAACGAACUUGAAUCUGGUCCUCUUGUCUGAUUUUAUUGGAGAACUUGAACUUUUUGCUGAUUUAGUUCUCUUAGAGAUUUGGAGUUUUGAUAUUAUACCUGGUAUGGAUUGGCUAUCUUCCUAUCAUACCAGUAUGGAUUGGUAUAUAACAAAUGAUCACUUUUUGCAUAUUUGAUCAGCCGAUCUUUUAUUUUGAAAGUAUUAGACAUGAUUUAUCUCCUUGUCUA
Molecule: long non-coding RNA, 279 nt
Filed under: Musa acuminata (dwarf banana)
Lineage: Eukaryota; Viridiplantae; Streptophyta; Magnoliopsida; Zingiberales; Musaceae
Description: long non-coding RNA (MACU_LNC007673)
Source: RNAcentral